RNAcentral lists this ribosomal RNA (432 nucleotides) under uncultured Chitinophaga sp. RNAcentral describes it as "bacterial SSU rRNA". It matches the Rfam family "Bacterial small subunit ribosomal RNA", at positions 355 to 780 of the family's 1533-position model. Lineage: Bacteria; Pseudomonadati; Bacteroidota; Chitinophagia; Chitinophagales; Chitinophagaceae. The record is from RNAcentral.
UGGGGAAUAUUGCACAAUGGGGGGAAACCCUGAUGCAGCCAUGCCGCGUGUGUGAAGAAGGCCUUCGGGUUGUAAAGCACUUUUGCAUUCGAGGAAGACAGCGUGUAAAUAAACGCGUUAUUUGACGUUAGAGUGUGAAUAAGCACCGGCAAACUCCGUGCCAGCAGCCGCGGUAAUACGGAGGGUGCAAGCGUUAUCCGGAUUUAUGGGUUUAAAGGGUGCGUAGGCUGUAAGUCAAGUCGGCGGUGAAAAGUCGGGGCUAAACCUUGAGGGUGCCGUUGAAACUGAUUUACUAGAAUGUGGAUGAUGCCGGCGGAAUGUGUCAAGUAGCGGUGAAAUGCAUAGAUAUGACACAGAAGGCCGAUUGCGAAGGCAGCUGGCAAAGGCACGAUUGACGCUGAGGCACGAAAGUGCGGGGAUCGAACAGGAUUA